RNAcentral lists this ribosomal RNA (468 nucleotides) under uncultured bacterium. RNAcentral describes it as "partial 16S ribosomal RNA". It matches the Rfam family "Bacterial small subunit ribosomal RNA", at positions 28 to 507 of the family's 1533-position model. The record is from RNAcentral.
GACGAACGCUGGCGGCGUGCUUAACACAUGCAAGUCGAACGGAAAGGCCCUGCUUUGGUGGGGUGCUCGAGUGGCGAACGGGUGAGUAACCCGUGAGUAACCUGCCCUUGACUUUGGGAUAACUUCAGGAAACUGGGGCUAAUACCGGAUAGGAGCUCCUGCUGCAUGGUGGGGGGUGGAUAGUUUCGGCGGUUGGGGAUGGACUCGCGGCUUAUCAGCGUGUUGGUGGGGUAGUGGCUUACCAAGGCUUUGACGGGUAGCCCGGCUGAGAGGGUGACCGGGCCAAAUGGGACUGAGAGACGGCCCAGAGUCCUACGGGAGGCAGCAGUGGGGAAUAUUGCACAAUGGGCGGAAGCCUGAUGCAGCAACGCCGCGUGCGGGAUGACGGCCUUCGGGUUGUAAACCGCUUUCGCCUGUGACGAAGCGUGAGUGACGGUAAUGGGUAAAGAAGCACCGGCUAACUACGUG